CCUACGGGAGGCAGCAGUGAGGAAUAUUGGUCAAUGGACGAGAGUCUGAACCAGCCAAGUAGCGUGAAGGAUGACUGCCCUAUGGGUUGUAAACUUCUUUUAUAAAGGAAUAAAACGAGGCACGUGUGCCUUUUUGCAUGUACUUUAUGAAUAAGGAUCGGCUAACUCCGUGCCAGCAGCCGCGGUAAUACGGAGGAUCCGAGCGUUAUCCGGAGUUAGUGGGUUUAAAGGGAGCGGAGAUGGGUUGUUAAGUCAGUUGUGAAAGUUUGCGGUGCAACCGUAAAAUUGCAAUUGAUACUGGCAGUCUUGAGUACAGUUGAGGUAGGCGGAAUUCGUGGUGUAGCGGUGAAAUGCUUAGAUAUCACGAAGAACCCCGAUUGCGAAGGCAGCUUACUAAACUGUGACUGACAUUGAUGCUCGAAAGUGUGGGUAUCAAACAGGAUUAGAUACCCGAGUAGUC
This 460-nucleotide ribosomal RNA is filed under the name uncultured bacterium. RNAcentral describes it as "partial 16S ribosomal RNA". It matches the Rfam family "Bacterial small subunit ribosomal RNA", at positions 338 to 795 of the family's 1533-position model. The record is from RNAcentral.